AGGAGGAACAACCACAGUGGUGGCAGCCAGUUCUAGAGCCCUUGAUUCAGCUCCCGCAGUAACUAGGGAGCUCUCUGUCUGCAGGGAUCUGGAUGCUCCAGGGGCGG
This 107-nucleotide microRNA precursor is filed under the name Canis lupus familiaris (dog). RNAcentral describes it as "mir-8834 microRNA precursor family". It matches the Rfam family "mir-8834 microRNA precursor family". The record is from Rfam by way of RNAcentral. Lineage: Eukaryota; Metazoa; Chordata; Mammalia; Carnivora; Canidae.